This 484-nucleotide ribosomal RNA is filed under the name uncultured bacterium. RNAcentral's name for it is "partial 16S ribosomal RNA". It matches the Rfam family "Bacterial small subunit ribosomal RNA", at positions 30 to 507 of the family's 1533-position model. The record is from RNAcentral.
AUUGAACGCUGGCGGCAGGCCUAACACAUGCAAGUCGAGCGGAUGAAGGGAGCUUGCUCCUGGAUUCAGCGGCGGACGGGUGAGUAAUGCCUAGGAAUCUGCCUGGUAGUGGGGGAUAACGUCCGGAAACGGGCGCUAAUACCGCAUACGUCCUGAGGGAGAAAGGGGGGGAUCUUCGGACCUCACGCUAUCAGAUGAGCCUAGGUCGGAUUUGCUAGUUGGUGGGGUAAAGGCCUACCAAGGCGACGAUCCGUAACUGGUCUGAGAGGAUGAUCAGUCACACUGGAACUGAGACACGGUCCAGACUCCUACGGGAGGCAGCAGUGGGGAAUCUUGGACAAUGGGCGAAAGCCUGAUCCAGCCAUGCCGCGUGUGUGAAGAAGGUCUUCGGAUUGUAAAGCACUUUAAGUUGGGAGGAAGGGCAGUAAGUUAAUACCUUGCUGUUUUGACGUUACCAACAGAAUAAGCCCCGGCUAACUUCGUG